RNAcentral lists this ribosomal RNA (485 nucleotides) under Boophis spinophis. Its description in RNAcentral is "partial 16S ribosomal RNA". It matches the Rfam family "Bacterial large subunit ribosomal RNA", at positions 1948 to 2597 of the family's 2925-position model. Lineage: Eukaryota; Metazoa; Chordata; Amphibia; Anura; Mantellidae. The record is from RNAcentral.
GUGCGAAGGUAGCAUAAUCACUUGUUCUUUAAAUGAGGACCAGUAUCAACGGCACCACGAGGAUCCUACUGUCUCCCCCCUCUAAUCAGUGAAACUGAUCUCCCCGUGAAGAAGCGGGGAUAAACGUAUAAGACGAGAAGACCCCAUGGAGCUUUAAACCCGACAGCACCCCCCCCCUACUAUAUAUCCUACUAUUUAUUCAGGACCUGCCUGCUCGGUUUUAGGUUGGGGUGACCACGGAGUAUAAAACAACCUCCAUGAAAAAAGGGAUAUUACCCUCAUUAGAGAAUGACACUUCCAAAACUAACAAAUUAAUUUUAAAUGAUCCGAUAUUCGAUCAACGAACCAAGUUACCCUGGGGAUAACAGCGCAAUCCACCCCAAGAGCCCCUAUCGACAGGUGGGUUUACGACCUCGAUGUUGGAUCAGGGUAUCCCAGUGGUGCAGCAGCUACCAAAGGUUCGUUUGUUCAACGAUUAAAACCCU